CGUAACGCGUAUGCAACCUACCUCUUACAGUGGGAUAGCCCAGAGAAAUUUGGAUUAAUACCGCAUAGUAUAUAGAUACAGCAUUGUGACUAUAUUAAACAUUCAUGGGUAAGAGAUGGGCAUGCGUUCUAUUAGUUAGUUGGAGUGGUAACGGCACCCCAAGACAGCGAUAGAUAGGGGCCCUGAGAGGGGGGAUCCCCCACACUGGUACUGAGACACGGACCAG
Molecule: ribosomal RNA, 226 nt
Filed under: uncultured bacterium
Lineage: Bacteria
Description: partial 16S ribosomal RNA
Rfam family: Bacterial small subunit ribosomal RNA
Source: RNAcentral